GGGAUUGUGGCUCAGUGGGAGAGCUCUUGCCUAGCAUGCGUGAGGCACUGAGUUCAAUUCUCAAUACCA
Molecule: transfer RNA, 69 nt
Filed under: Ictidomys tridecemlineatus (thirteen-lined ground squirrel)
Lineage: Eukaryota; Metazoa; Chordata; Mammalia; Rodentia; Sciuridae
Description: Spermophilus tridecemlineatus (thirteen-lined ground squirrel) tRNA
Rfam family: tRNA
About the family: Transfer RNA (tRNA) molecules are approximately 80 nucleotides in length. Their secondary structure includes four short double-helical elements and three loops (D, anti-codon, and T loops). Further hydrogen bonds mediate the characteristic L-shaped molecular structure. tRNAs have two regions of fundamental functional importance: the anti-codon, which is responsible for specific mRNA codon recognition, and the 3' end, to which the tRNAs corresponding amino acid is attached (by aminoacyl-tRNA synthetases). tRNAs cope with the degeneracy of the genetic code in two manners: having more than one tRNA (with a specific anti-codon) for a particular amino acid; and 'wobble' base-pairing, i.e. permitting non-standard base-pairing at the 3rd anti-codon position.
Source: Rfam by way of RNAcentral